UAUUAUGGUUCCUGAAGUUAGUCUGCGA
RNAcentral lists this non-coding RNA (28 nucleotides) under Mus musculus (house mouse). Lineage: Eukaryota; Metazoa; Chordata; Mammalia; Rodentia; Muridae. The record is from RNAcentral.